Molecule: long non-coding RNA, 1659 nt
Filed under: Helianthus annuus (common sunflower)
Lineage: Eukaryota; Viridiplantae; Streptophyta; Magnoliopsida; Asterales; Asteraceae
Source: RNAcentral
AUGAAUAGUAUACUUGCCAUGUGGCAUGAUGCUAUAGUUUGCUCAAUUGUUGUACUUGGACAAUUUGAUAAAGUGGUUUGAAUGGAGCCACUUUAGCGUCGGUUCAAGUCCCACCACUUUCUAUUUUUUAUCUUUUGCUAUUCCCUUAUCUAAUGUGGCUUCUUCCAUUCCUCUCUAAAAUCUCUCACAUUCUCUCUCUCUUAAAGGUUGCUCUCAUCGGAGCAUCAAAUGUAUUUCUUUGAUUUCAAUCAUUUCCUAAGAGAUGCGACUUUUGAGAGAAACGGAUGUGUGACACCUCUGUUGCUCUCUGCCUCUGGCUUUGAUUUUUUUUCGUUUUUGUCGAUGUUGUUAACAAUCUGACUGUGAUGAUGUGGUUAUGAGUUUGGAUUUUUUCAGAAUUAGGGAACGAAGAAUGGAUGUUGUGGACUAGGGGUGUGCAUGGGUCGGUUUUGGCCUAAAACCAUAACCAAAAGCACGAUGUCGGUUAAUGGAUAACCAUAACCGAUCGGUUACGGUGGUUAUGGUUAAUCGGUUUUAACGGUUAUAACGGGUCGGUUAUGGGUGGUUAACCGUGUAUUUAGCCUAUCUAAAAAUAGCUUAAUUUUUUACAUGGAAUAAAUUGUUAUUACAUAUUUGUAUAUAUUAGUAUGUUGCACAAUAUGAAAAAUACAUUAUAAUCUGUAAUAUUAAUAUCGAUUCUUACCGAAUAUUCAAAUAAAGUGAUAAGAUAUAUUCCAUAAAUUCAAAUAAACAAUCAUCUAUUAAAAAAUAGUGAAAAGUCCUAAAUCCUAUAAAAGAUUUAUUACAUGUCAGUUCGGUUCGGUUAUGGUGGGCAUGGAAACGUUGAUAACCAUAACCGACUCGCUACUUUCGGUUUUUAGAAAAACCAUCAACCGACCCACCGGUUUUUUAUUUGGUUCGGUUUGUCGGUUAAUUCGGUUAUGGUUCGGUUAAUUCGGUUUUUUGCACACCCCUAUUGUGAACUAUUAGGUCCAAAUACGGAACAACCAGUCAAGUUUCAUAGUCUGUUUCGAUUAAGAUUGAAACAUGCAUGUGUUUGUGGCUGUUUAAAAGACCGAUUGGACUGAUCCAAUUGCUAUAUCCGAGUUUGACUAAGAACUGGUGUCUAACAUGUCUGAUGGUGUUUUAAUUUUUAGUGAUUCAAGAACUAUAUUGUUUUGAUUGAUUUAAUUUAGUAAGACUCUGUUUUGUAGGUGUGUUUGAUAAGGUGUUGAAGGAUGGUUAAAACCCUAAUUGAAAAUAUAUUUUGGGUUGAGCAGAUUGAUCCAGAUAGCAAGAAAUUUCACUAAGGUUAUUUAUUUGUUUCCGCUUAGGCUGGGGGUGUGGUUUAAAGCCUCUAGGGGCUUUAUCACGCCAUGUAAACGCCAAAUAGAUUUUGGGAUAAAAAUGAUGCCCCCUUUAACAAUGAUGGUGUGGGAUAAGAGCAUUCACAUCCAUCUCACCAUAUUUUCUUCCUAAAUUACACUAAAAAACACCACAGUUUCUCUGUCCUUUUCAAUUAAAUAAUAUUUUUUAUACCUUUAUUAAUAUCUUUUCUUUCUCCUCCACUCACAACACUUUCAAAAUAUAUUAAAAAAUUAUAGGGGGUGACCAGUGUCCCCCCAAAUAUACAGAUGAACAGUAACAUUUUCUCUCUUC